ACUCCUACGGGAGGCAGCAGUAAGGAAUAUUGGUCAAUGGACGAAAGUCUGAACCAGCCAUGCCGCGUGAAGGAUGACGGCCCUCUGGGUUGUAAACUUCUUUUAUCUGGGACGAAAAAAGAUCAUUCUUGAUCACUUGACGGUACCAGAGGAAUAAGCACCGGCUAACUCCGUGCCAGCAGCCGCGGUAAU
RNAcentral lists this ribosomal RNA (192 nucleotides) under uncultured bacterium. RNAcentral's name for it is "partial 16S ribosomal RNA". It matches the Rfam family "Bacterial small subunit ribosomal RNA", at positions 335 to 524 of the family's 1533-position model. The record is from RNAcentral.